GAUAAAAAUUCAUAUAAUUUGAAAGAUCUUUUUUUUAUGCGGCACCUUCACAACGAAGAAAAGUAGCUACUAAUUACUGGCUAGCAUUUGAAGAUAAUGUAAGUGGAAGUUGGUCUUUUGGUUUUUGCACCGACAUGAUUGCAUUAUAAAACCCCACUACUUUAUUCAGCAGUUCGCCACACCAAAUCAAAAAGAAGAGAGUAGCUAGUUAUAUCGAAGCAUUACAAGUCUCUGUGUAACUACAUCAAAUUAACAAGAUCAAGAAGAUGCACGGUCCGGGAGGAGGCGGCGGCGGUCCGGGAGGACCAGGCGGCGGUCAUGGAGGGCCAGGCGGCGGCGGUCAUGGAGGGCCAGGCGGCGGCGGUCAUGGAGGGCCAGGCGGCGGAGGCCCGGGAGGACAAGGCGGCGGCUUUGGAGGACCAGGAGGCGGCUUUGGAGGACCGGGAGGCGGAGGCGGCUUUGGAGGACCAGGCGGCGGCUUUGGAGGACCAGGCGGCGGCUUCGGAGGACCAGGCGGCGGCUUUGGAGGACCAGGCGGCGGUUUGGGAGGGCCAGGCGGCGGUUUGGGAGGACCAGGCGGCGGUUUUGGAGGGCCAGGCGGCGGUUUUGGCGGUCCCGGCGGCGGUUUUGGAGGGCCAGGCGGCGGUCCGGGAGGACCAGGGCAUCAAGGCGGACACGGGGGUGGAGGUGGAGGUGGACCAGGUGGAGGUGGAGGUGGAGGUGGACCAGGUGGAGGUGGACCAGGUGGUCGCUGACUCGUUGCUAAGUGCUAACUAAUGGUCUCGGCCAAGAACUUCUGGUGUACAAGAAGUAGUUUAUAUAUAUAUAUACAUAUAUAUGCUGUUCAUGUUUUAUAAUUAAUUAGUUUACUAAUCAUGUUUAAGAAUUAAGAUCACCACCAGACCAGCUCAUCUGGAGAGGAUCUGGGGAGGAUCAUGUGUCUGUCACUAUGUUGAAUAUGCUGCAUAUUAUGAUAUUUCCAUUUAUAGUAUAUGCAUGAUUGCUCUUUUCUCUAGUGCUUUAUUUAGAAACCUUUUAUCAUUCUUGAUAAUUAAUCUAUUUCCAAUGAUCUCUAAUUAUUAUAUAUAUCGGUAAGAAUUUAAAGAUGGUAAGAUGGGAUAUCAAAGAAAUAGUAGCAAACGUGGUUGUGUGAUGUUGCUGGAGUUUAAAAUGUUUUGGAAAUAUAUACAUUACCAGAACAGAGGUUAUAAAAAGUAGAUUUUUUAUAGUCUUCAAGGGAAGGACUUUCAUUUUUUAUUAAAAAAAAAAAGGAUUGGUUUUGGGGCUAACAUCACAUUGAACUUCAACGAUCCGAAUCAUCUAUUUUUCAAGUUGCAUCUUAUAGAUUAUCCUUGCAAAAUAUUAUCAAUUUGAAAAUAUUUGAGGCAUUUAAUUGAGUUCAAAGAAAUUGACGAACACUAUGUUUAAAAGAACAUUGAAAUUUCACGUGACGCUAAAUUGACAAAUAGUUUUGGAUGAAAUAGAAUUUUUGCAUAAAUGAUCUGAGAAUUUAGAUUUACAAAAUAAACGGCUCAGAUCGUUGCUGUUUGAUAUUGAAUAGAUCCCACAACAAAUCCCUAUUUCUUACCAAAAAAAAAA
Molecule: long non-coding RNA, 1599 nt
Filed under: Malus domestica (apple)
Lineage: Eukaryota; Viridiplantae; Streptophyta; Magnoliopsida; Rosales; Rosaceae
Description: long non-coding RNA (MDOM_LNC014617)
Source: RNAcentral